AUGGUUUCCUCCAGCCCCCGACUGUCCCUGUCACCCAGUGCCAGAUGGGAAGUGAGAGCUAAGCCGAUCCACCUCUUUGUGGUGGAAACCCCCCGAGCUUCGGCUACAGGUUGGAGUCAGAGCCCAGAGCAACGACAGACUGCAGUACAACUUCUCCCAGGUGUGUUCCUCUCCACCUGCACUAGCCAGCUGAAGUUGCCCAAGCUGCAACAAAUGAUAAGCAAAGUACAUGUGGUCUGGACUAAGGAGGCAAUGAAAUUCAAAUUCUAGGCACCCAGUUUGCUUUGCCAAAUCACUGUUUGGCAUCAAAGAGGCAUCAGAACUCUGGCUGCAGCUGUAAUCAGGAGUGUUCAGGUAUUGUAUUAGGGAUGAAUGCACAUCAUCCUCAUUUAAAGAUACUGAAGUGGGCUUUCACAUACAAAUUCCUAUUGAUGAACUUCAUAUUGUUCACUUUCAGUUGGAAUUUUAUGAACCUAAACCAGAAAAACAUGUGCUUUUGGUUUUGUUGAUGGUUGAAGAAGUUAACAAGAAACACCCUUGCAGUCCUCCCACUGAUUGAUAUCAUGUAAAUAUAAUUAUGAAUCUUGUUCUGGUUGUUAAGUAUAUAUAUAAAUUGCCUGCAUUACAUAACAUAAUCUUACUGACAAUUGACAUGAUAAAAGAUAUAAGUAUAAUACAAAAAGUGAAGCUAACAAUAAGUUCUGUCAUCUAAAUUACAAAAAAAAAAAAAAAAAAAAGCUGGCCAGAAGAUCAGUAUUUUGAAACUUUAUUGGGUUCCAGUGACCAUUCACUGGAAAUUCAGAAAGAGAUGUGGCUUCAGACAAGCCACCUUGGAGUUUCUGCAAUUAAACCUGCUUUGCAUUUUGCCUGUGCAAGGACAGAAAUGGCAGCUCUGGCAGCAGCUGCCAGGCUCAGGGCAGAUUGUAAUAGGUCCAGAGAUUGCCACCUCACCAGGUCACCUCAGGCAAAUCCAGAGCCUCCAAACCAUCCCUGGUGGGAUUUCAGGGACUUUCAGUGCAUUAAUGAUGGACCUGACGCUGGGGGCUUCUCCUAGAGCCACCCGCUUUGGAAGGCCUUCAUAACUGCUAGCAGCUGAAGGGCAGAGGCCUUCACGGCCCACCACCUCCAGCCACAGCUGAGAUUUCCUGCAGAAUUGUUUGCAAAACACACUACAAAGCAACUUUUUUUCCACCACAAAGUUGAAUUAAGAAAUCCUGACAAGUUUAAAGUUUGGAAUUAAACAGUGGAGCACAUGAGAGGUUUGCCAGAA
Molecule: long non-coding RNA, 1270 nt
Filed under: Anas platyrhynchos platyrhynchos (common mallard)
Lineage: Eukaryota; Metazoa; Chordata; Aves; Anseriformes; Anatidae
Description: lncRNA (ENSAPLG00000028491.1)
Source: RNAcentral